AAGGCCAGUUUCGAUUACCUUGACGCUCGAAGGUCACGGAGAUCAUUACGUAAAACGUGUCAUGCAGUGGUGUAGAGGUUGGGUGAGAAUGACACGUGUUGCUUCAUUAUCAAAAAGACCCAUCCCCGGCAAAGUCACCUGCAGAAGGAAAGGCCAGUUUGCAUUUCAAUCGAAGGUCAUGAAGAUCAUUACGUAAAAGGUGUCAGGUAUUGGUGUAGAGGUUGGGUGAAAACGGGACGUUUUGCUUCAUUAUCAAGAAGGUAAAAUAUAGCCAUUAGGCUUAAGAGGAGGGGUGAGAAAAAAUUGUAUUAAAGGCGAGAGAAAAGUUGACAGGGAUCAGUCGAGUGAGCAUCUCCGACCCGGCGACAACUUCAUUCUUCGUCGUAUUACCAGGUCGCAAUCACGGUUAACAAUGCCGUCAUGCUGCUAUUGGUUGUUGUAUCGUCGAUGGCUGGGUCGAUCACUGGUGUACCGACGUAUCCUGGUUAAGGCGGAUACCAAACCGCAACGCCACCGCCUUACUAAACAACAACCUGACAACAACAUACGCAACGACCAGAUACUACACCGAGGUUGCACUGUUGGGUUUACAGUUAAAUCACCAAGGAUCCAGAUGAUUUCACCACAACUUGUGCUGCUCCUCGAGCUACACUACCAAAGCGCUACAGUACUACACCGAGGCACCUACUGAGACUACGCAACUACGUAUGCUGCCCCAACCUACGACACCGAGGCUCCAGCUUAUUACAUCACCAAGGCUGUCGAAUUCUACACUGGAGCGCCCAAGUACGACAGAAAUCAGUCAAGUGAGCUUCUCCGACACCCAACACGGCAACCCCGAAGUUUCGAAUAAACUUCGUUUCAAACAGUGGAACGGCAAAGAGUGAAGGUGUUAAACGAAAAUCUUUUCCAAUCCCUGAGCGGUGCCCUUAAAGAUGCCCACGAGCACGUAGCGCUGUUCCGCAACAUCGAUGGUGGUAACAUAGGUCGAGUUCUCCGUUCCCCUAAAUAUUUGAGCCAAUGGACAACCGAGAAAGUGAAAGCGGAAAGUGUUAAUGUUUUGCCCAAAGCUAAUGUUGAGGGUGUAAUUUUGGAAGACUACAAGGUCGCAUUGUCCUUAAACAAUGGUCAAAAGAUUUAAACUGACAAUGUCGUCGUUGCUGUCGGUUGGGACGUAAACACGGAUUUGGCUGUUGCUUUUGGUUUGGAAAUAGAGGAGAGGAGAUUUUGGUGGUUAUCGAGUCAAUACCGAGCUUGAAGCACAAUCGAACGUUUGUUUGACUGGAGAUGUUACGUUCUUUUCUGAUAUCAAAUUGGGUCGCUGUUGUAUGGAACAUGUUCACCAUGCUGUUGUAUCAGGGCGAUUGGCUGGAGAGAACAAUACUGGCAAAGAAAUAUGGAUGAAAAACUGCAGUGCACUAUUACCAAGUGGAUUCUUCGUCGUAUUAUCAGUACGCAAUCGGUUGAUUGUGAUGUCGCCGUUUGCCGUAUCGUUGAAAGCUGGGUCGAUCACUGGUGUACCGAUGUCUCCUGGGUAUGGCGGGUACCAAAGCAUCACGCCGACGCCAUACUACACAACCUCAACAUUCGCAAAAAACGGUUACUACACUGAGGCACACUAUUACUACACCACCAAGGCUCCAGAGUAUUACACCGAAGCUGAUGCUGCCCCGAGUUACAUCAUCAAACGUACUACACCGAGGCCCCCUAGUUCCUAGCUACUAAACCGAGCCUCCAACUUAUUACACCACCAAAGCGGCUGAAUACUACACCGAGCCGUCCAAGUACUACACCAACAAGGCUCCAGAGUAUUACACCACAACUUUUGCUUCCCUGAGCCUCUACAUCGAAGCCCCGAAGUAUUACUCUGCCCUAAGCUACACAACUACAACUGAGGCGGCCAAGUACUACGCAGCCCCAACUUACUACACAGCGGCUGCUCCUUCGUACUACGUUGAACCGGAAUACUACACCUAGGCUUCAGUUUACUACACCACAACCUAUGCUACACCGAGGCCCCUAUGUACUACACUACCAAGGCACCUGAGUAUUAUAACACUACUUACGCUGCUCCGACCAACUACACCGAAGCUCCGAAGUAUUACUCUAUCCCGAGUUACUACACCACUAAGGCACCUGAAUAUUACACCACACCUUACGCUUCUCCAACUUACUACAGGGACGCUCCUAAAUAUUAUAAGUAUGUUCAGAUUUGUCGGUCAUAUCUUAAUAGUUACUAGUCACUGGGAAUUGUUGAUUUUUAAUAGGGAAAUAGUUUUUUUAAACCUGG
Molecule: long non-coding RNA, 2290 nt
Filed under: Daphnia pulicaria
Lineage: Eukaryota; Metazoa; Arthropoda; Branchiopoda; Diplostraca; Daphniidae
Description: uncharacterized LOC124340579, transcript variant X4
Source: RNAcentral